This 177-nucleotide small RNA is filed under the name Arabidopsis thaliana (thale cress). Its description in RNAcentral is "ATSL269440". The record is from RNAcentral. Lineage: Eukaryota; Viridiplantae; Streptophyta; Magnoliopsida; Brassicales; Brassicaceae.
AUUGUAUCAUUGUUAGAAGAUACAAUGACGAAGACUCAGACGGACUUCGGCUACACCAUCAAAGCUUUGAGAAGCAAGAAGCAGUUGGUUAGCGUUUUGGAGUCGAAUAUGACUUGAUGUCAUGUGUAUGAGUGAGUAUAAAAACUAGAACCGCAACGGAUCUUAAAUACCUAAAUA